AACGUAGGUGGAGCGAGCGUUUAUCCGGAUUUACGUGGGCGUAAAGCGUGCGCAGGCGGUCUGUUAAGACCGAUGUGAAAUCCCCGGCUUAACCUGGGAACUGCAUUGGUGACUGGCAGGCUUGAGUGUGGCAGAGGGAGGUAGAAUUCCGACGUGUAGCAGUGAAAUGCGUAGAGAGUGUGGAGGAAUACCGAUGGCGAAGGCAGCCUCCUGGGCCAACACUGACGCUCAUGCACGAAAGCGUGGGGAGCAAACAGG
This 258-nucleotide ribosomal RNA is filed under the name uncultured bacterium. RNAcentral's name for it is "partial 16S ribosomal RNA". It matches the Rfam family "Bacterial small subunit ribosomal RNA", at positions 522 to 776 of the family's 1533-position model. The record is from RNAcentral.